RNAcentral lists this ribosomal RNA (428 nucleotides) under Bacillus sp. (in: firmicutes). RNAcentral describes it as "bacterial SSU rRNA". It matches the Rfam family "Bacterial small subunit ribosomal RNA", at positions 924 to 1351 of the family's 1533-position model. The record is from RNAcentral. Lineage: Bacteria; Bacillati; Bacillota; Bacilli; Caryophanales; Bacillaceae.
CCGCCACAAGCGCCCGACCAUGCGGUAUAAUUCGAACCACCGCGAAGAACCUUCCCCGGUCUUGACAUACUCUGCCACCCCCUAGAGAUAGGGCUCCCCUUCGGGAGCAGAUUGACAGCUGGUGCAUGGUUGUCGUCAGCUCGUGUCGUGAGAUGCUCGGUUAAGUCCCGCAACGAGCGCAACCCUUGAUCUUAGUUCCCAUCACUUAGUUGGGCACUCUAAGGUGCCUGCCGGUGACAAACCGGAGGAAGGUUGGGAUGACGUCAAAUCAUCAUGCCCCUUAUGACUUGGGCUACACACGUGCUCCAAUGGACCGUACAAAGAGCUGCAAGACCGCGAGGUGGAGCUAAUCUCAUAAAACCGUUCUCAGUUCGGACUGUAGGCUGCAACUCGCCAACAAAAACUGGAAUCGCUUGUAUCCCCGAUCA